AUUGAACGCUGGCGGCAUGCUUUACACAUGCAAGUCGAACGGCAGCGCGGGCUUCGGCCUGGCGGCGAGUGGCGAACGGGUGAGUAAUGCAUCGGAACGUGCCCAGUAGUGGGGGAUAGCCCGGCGAAAGCCGGAUUAAUACCGCAUACGACCUGAGGGUGAAAGCGGGGGACCGAAAGGCCUCGCGCUAUUGGAGCGGCCGAAGUCGGAUUAGCUAGUUGGUGGGGUAAAGGCUUACCAAGGCGACGAUCCGUAGCUGGUCUGAGAGGACGACCAGCCACACUGGGACUGAGACACGGCCCAGACUCCUACGGGAGGCAGCAGUGGGGAAUUUUGGACAAUGGGGGCAACCCUGAUCCAGCCAUGCCGCGUGCGGGAAGAAGGCCUUCGGGUUGUAAACCGCUUUUGUUCGGGAAGAAAUCCUCUGGGCUAAUACCCCGGGGGGAUGACGGUACCGGAAGAAUAAGCACCGGCUAACUACGUG
Molecule: ribosomal RNA, 484 nt
Filed under: uncultured bacterium
Lineage: Bacteria
Description: partial 16S ribosomal RNA
Rfam family: Bacterial small subunit ribosomal RNA
Source: RNAcentral